Stomoxys calcitrans (stable fly) is the source of this 1244-nucleotide long non-coding RNA. RefSeq lists it as uncharacterized. The record is from RefSeq and is a predicted model, not a curated record. The transcript is spliced from 2 exons. NCBI's taxonomy places the organism in Eukaryota, Metazoa, Arthropoda, Insecta, Diptera, Muscidae.
UAUUGAAUGAAAGUCAAAUACAAUAAAAAAUGUACAUUGAAUUAAAAAGAGAAAAUGUUGAGAAUAUUGUUGCUUCAGGAGGAAGGAAGGAGGAAGCGUAUCAUCCGCAGACGUGUGCAAGAUGCAUCUAACCCCUUGGAGUUACCCCAUACAUUAUUCACCCAGCACUAUAGAUUAAGUAAAGAUGCUUUUAAGUAUAUUCUGGAGGAGCUCGAGGAAAAUCUGCGCCAUCAAAAACAUCGUCCGGAAUUCCAAAAAUUUUAAAAUUAUGUGCCUGUUUGCGAUUCUUUGCAGAGGGUGGGUACCAGAAAGGAGUAGGCAGAGAUUACGAAGUUGGAAUGGCGCAGUCAACGUUCAGCGAAGUGCUCACACAAGUUUUAAAUGUAAUAGAGCGAACUUUAUGCUGUAAGUGGAUCACCUUUCCGACCGAGGAAGAGAGUCGAGUGACAGCGCAAGAUUUCUAUCGUUUGGAAUACCAGGCGUUGUGGGAUGUAUUGAUGGCACUCACAUCAAUAUAAUAGGUCCAAUGGAAAUAAACACUUAUACUUCAACCGGAAAGGACACUAUAGCCUAAAUACCACACUUGCAAGUUUUCUUUUUUCUUUUUGUGUUUAUAAUACAAAUAGAAUUGGUGUAUAGAUAGGUGAUAGCAGCAUGAAUAUAACAUUUAUUGAUGCUACACAUCAUGGAGAGUGUCAUGAUUCUUUUAUAUGGAAUACGAGCGCUUACUAUACUGUCAUGGAGCAAAAUUAUAGAGCUAAUGCAUUUGUAUUAUAUUUUCUAGGAAAUUGUGGAUAUCAUCUACAGCCGUGGUUGUUGACUCCUUAUAGGACACUGGAAUCGGGCUCUGUACAACAAAAAUUUAACGAUAUCCAUUCCAAAUGUAGGAAUAUAAAAGAACGGGCAAAUGGUGUUCUAAAAGGCAGAUUGAGGUGUUUACUUGGUGCUAGGUAAACGCAUUAUGACCCAAAAAAAAAAAGCAAUUAAAAUCAUUAAUGUGUGCGUAGCAUUGCACAUGGUUGCAUAUAAGUGUGAAUUCUAUAAUGAACUCUUUUUUGAAAAUGAAUAAAAUGUUGUCGAUCAAGAAAUACCUACAUCAUCUGCAUCAGAUAAAUACCUAGCCAUUGCUUGAAAAAUUCGUGACAAUGUCGCCAGCUCUCUAUGAAUAUCAACCAUUUAAAACUUAUACUUAAACAAUUAAACAAAUGUAAUUUAGUUCAUUUAUAUAUUUUAUUAAUAACUAA